UUUGUUCUCAUUAAGGCCAGAAUCAUCCAUAUGUGCUUGGUCCCUAAAAGUCUGGUUGUCAGGCAACUUGGUGGAGCUCGUCAGAGUUGGACUGUAGAUGUCACAAUGAUGCGCAGUAGUGACUGGAAUGCCCAUUUGCCAGAAGUGCCGCCAGCUGGAGAAGAUCCACCUCCAGAAGAUGGCAUCCCACAUCCUUUGCAUGGUAAUGGCCUUAAUGCUGAACAAAUGUACCAGCAGCAACUACACAAUUGGUUGGCCCAAAAUGAUGUCCCCAAUAAUGAUCGUAAUCAGGAUGAUGGUAAUGUAGUAGUGGAUCAGGGCAAUGAUAUUGACAUUCAUCUUGAGUGGGGAGUCUGGCCUCCCCUCCUCCUCAAGAGCCACAAAUGC
Molecule: ribosomal RNA, 387 nt
Filed under: Triticum aestivum (bread wheat)
Lineage: Eukaryota; Viridiplantae; Streptophyta; Magnoliopsida; Poales; Poaceae
Description: partial small subunit ribosomal RNA
Source: RNAcentral